GGGGCUGUAGCUCAGUGGGAGAGCGUCUGCUUGGCGUGCAGAAGGUCGGGGGUUCAAGUCCCCUCAGCUCCA
RNAcentral lists this transfer RNA (72 nucleotides) under bacterium. Its description in RNAcentral is "tRNA-Ala". It matches the Rfam family "tRNA". From Rfam's summary of the family: Transfer RNA (tRNA) molecules are approximately 80 nucleotides in length. RNAcentral also lists the same sequence under 3 other names. The record is from RNAcentral.